Chinchilla lanigera (long-tailed chinchilla) is the source of this 1226-nucleotide long non-coding RNA. RefSeq lists it as uncharacterized. Lineage: Eukaryota; Metazoa; Chordata; Mammalia; Rodentia; Chinchillidae. The record is from RefSeq and is a predicted model, not a curated record. The transcript has 3 exons.
CUAACAAAGCACUCAUAGACAUCUUUAGGAGACACAGAAAGCACGUAUAUCUAACUUCCACUCUACAGAAGUCUGGGUGAGAUUAAAUGGCCAGGAUUGUGACCUGAAUUCUAAUUUUAAAUCUGUUUUCGAAUAAAAACAAAGAAAGAAAAGAGAAAAAAAUGUUCGAAAACCAAGCACUUUCUCUACGUAUCUGGGGGAAAACUGAGUGGUAGUAAAGUUCAGGUGUUUAAUUCUGGUACAGCGCUACUUAAUACAUAAACCACAGAUUUUACUAUUCAAGACUUUCCUUCAACGCUUUAAAAAAUCUGUUAAUGGUAUCAAACCACCAAAACGUUGUAAGUGUCCAAUGUUAUCUAGAAUAAAGUAAUCUAAAAACUCUACCUCUAACAGUAUGCAACAAGUUAUCAACCUUUUUACUGUACUUUUGUGCUUCUUAGCAAGCUUAAAACAUACUUCUUACCUACGUUAUGCCAUUCAGAAGUUUAAGUGACUUAAAAUAGAUCUUUAAGAUUUUCCUAUUCAACACAACAAAUAACAUUUAAACUGAAUACUGUCGAAAGCAAACGCCUCGUUUACAAUUAGAAUGAACUCCUUUUUAUAAUUCUGAACAUCUAAGAGCUUAUGGCCGCUACUUUACCCCAUCACCAACACUCCUCGAGUGUCCAAAGUACCCAAACUUCUAGAAAACGUCCCCUUAUUAUUAAAAUAUUUUGCGUAUGAGAUCAGAGCUGGAGACCUGGACAACUGUGGAGAACUGCCCAAUUCCAGCCUCCAACAUAAAAAGGGGGGAGGAGAGAAAAGGGAAGGGAAGAGCCGCGCAGCGGAGAAAAGACGUAAGGGAGGAGAGGGACUUUCAAAAUGCCCCGGUGCCACGUACAGCCUAUGCAGAACAGCCGUUCCUCUGCGAAGUAGUGGAGGUCUACUGCUGCGGACCAAGGAGGCCACUCUACAAAGGGCACUCGGAAUAGAGCCCUGGGAGGCAAACAUCCCUCAUCUCUUCCUGCUGGUGGCUGUGGGGGACACCUGGCCCUGAACGCCCCCUCACAGGUUACCUUUGCAGCUCCUCUUCCUUCCACAUGGGCCACAUUCCUUCCCUCAAGUUCCUAGAUAAGGAAAAGUACAGUGGCUGAUUCCAAACAAGAUCAAAACAAGACAGAUCAGACUAUUUAAACCUCGCCGGCAAUUUUCUGCUGAAGACUUCCUCUAUCUGCAAGCAAUAUAGG